GACGAACGCUGGCGGCGUGCUUAACACAUGCAAGUCGAACGGAAAGGCCCGGCUUUUGUUGGGUGCUCGAGUGGCGAACGGGUGAGUAACACGUGAGUAACCUGCCCUUGACUGUGUGAUAACUCCACGAAACUGGGGCUCAUACCGGAUAGGAUCUCCUGCUGCAUGUGGGUCGUUGGAGAGUGUCGGCGGUGGGGGCUGGACUCGCGGCUUAUCAGCUUGUUGGUGUGGUAGUGGCGUACCAGGGCUUUGACGGGUAGGCGGCCUGGGAGGGUUACCGGCCACAUUGGGCCUGAGGUAGGGACCAGACUCCUACGGGAGGCAGCAGUGGGGAAUAUUGCACAAUGGGCGGACGCCUGAUGCAGCAACGCCGCGUGCGGGAUGACGGCCUUCGGGUUGUAAACCGAUUUCGCCUGUGACGAAGCGUGCGUGACGGUAAUGGGUCAAAAAGCACCGGCUAACUACGUG
Molecule: ribosomal RNA, 468 nt
Filed under: uncultured bacterium
Lineage: Bacteria
Description: partial 16S ribosomal RNA
Rfam family: Bacterial small subunit ribosomal RNA
Source: RNAcentral